GCUAGAUUGACGCUGGCGGCAGGCCUAACACAUGCAAGUCGAACGGUAACAGGAAGCAGCUUGCUGCUUCGCUGACGAGUGGCGGACGGGUGAGUAAUGUCUGGGAAACUGCCUGAUGGAGGGGGAUAACUACUGGAAACGGUGGCUAAUACCGCAUAACGUCGCAAGACCAAAGAGGGGGACCUUCGGGCCUCUUGCCAUCAGAUGUGCCCAGAUGGGAUUAGCUAGUUGGUGAGGUAACGGCUCACCAAGGCGACGAUCCCUAGCUGGUCUGAGAGGAUGACCAGCCACACUGGAACUGAGACACGGUCCAGACUCCUACGGGAGGCAGCAGUGGGGAAUAUUGCACAAUGGGCGCAAGCCUGAUGCAGCCAUGCCGCGUGUAUGAAGAAGGCCUUCGGGUUGUAAAGUACUUUCAGCGGGGAGGAAGGUGUUGUGGUUAAUAACCGCAGCAAUUGACGUUACCCGCAGAAGAAGCACCGGCUAACUCCGUGCCAGCCGCCGCGGUAAUUCGUCGUGACUGGGAAC
This 528-nucleotide ribosomal RNA is filed under the name Salmonella enterica subsp. enterica serovar Typhimurium. Its description in RNAcentral is "bacterial SSU rRNA". It matches the Rfam family "Bacterial small subunit ribosomal RNA", at positions 28 to 539 of the family's 1533-position model. The record is from RNAcentral. Lineage: Bacteria; Pseudomonadati; Pseudomonadota; Gammaproteobacteria; Enterobacterales; Enterobacteriaceae.